RNAcentral lists this long non-coding RNA (774 nucleotides) under Ananas comosus (pineapple). Its description in RNAcentral is "long non-coding RNA (ACOM_LNC011688)". The record is from RNAcentral. Lineage: Eukaryota; Viridiplantae; Streptophyta; Magnoliopsida; Poales; Bromeliaceae.
UUAAAUUUUGAAAUAUAAAUUUUAAUUUAGAACUUAAUUGUAAAAUUCUAAUUUAAUCUCCUCUAUUAAAAAAAUUAAAUAACUUCACUCAUUUUAUUCCAUAUUGAUAAUUUUUUAAAUAUUUAAAUAAAUUAAUUUAAUUUUAAAAAAUAAAAAGUUUAGAGGCUCAAAAUUUAUAUAUAUAAUUAGCAACUAUUGUAUUUAUAUUGGAACUAGGCUAUUAUACUAUCGGUAGCACGGAGGGUUCCGUGCUAUUAAGUUGUUUUCGAUGAUGCAGCUUCCAAAUCAAUGAUCGGCUCCGUUAGACUUAAUCUACACUAUUAAAGUAUUUAGAAACUAAAUUUCAUAACUUUUCGAUAUCAUUUACCUAUCAAACAAGUAGUCUAAAAUUAAACGGCUGAAAAUAAAAAUCUCAUAAAAAAUGAUAAUAAAAGAUUUAAAUUUAAGAUCAGAUAUACUGAUCUUACUCUAAAUAGUGAAAAAAAUUUUCUAUAAAAUUUUCAUCGGAUUUGGAUUGUUUUACACCGUUAAACUCACAAAGACACUACAUCGGCCUUUAAAAUUGUCAAUUUUGAGAUCUUUUGAUCACUAGUCAAAUGAUGUCGAAAAAAUCUGAAAUUUAGUUUCCAAAUACUUUUAAUAGUGUAAAUCAAGUCUAAUGGAGCCGAUCGUCGAUUUGGAAGCCGCAUCAUCGAAAACAACUUAGUAGCAGGGAGCGCUCCGUGCUACCGAUAGUAUAGUAGCCGGACUCUUUAUAUUGAAUCUGUUGUACAA